Long non-coding RNA from Thalassophryne amazonica, 553 nucleotides. RefSeq lists it as uncharacterized. The record is from RefSeq and is a predicted model, not a curated record. The transcript is spliced from 2 exons. Lineage: Eukaryota; Metazoa; Chordata; Actinopteri; Batrachoidiformes; Batrachoididae.
AUGUUACCUUAUGCUGAAGAGGAAAUGGCCUUAAAAUGGGUGUUUCAACAAGACAAUGACCCCAAACACAGCAGCAAACGAGUAGCAUCUUGGUUCAAGAUUAACGUUAUGGAGUGGCCAGCCCAAUCCUGGAACUUUAAUCCAUUAAAAAAAAACUUGUGGGGUGACUUCAACAAUGCUGUUUCUGAGGCAAAACCAAGAAAUGCAGAGGAACUGUGGAAUGUAGUCCUGGGCUGGAAUACCUGUUCACAGGUGCCAGAAGUUUGUUGAUUCCAUGUAACACAGAUGUAAAGCAGUUCUCAGAAACAGUGGUUACAUAACUAAACAUUAGCUCAGUGAUUCACAGGAAAGAUAAAUCUUCAAGCAUGUCAGUUUAUACUGUAAAUGUUUGAGUUUGUAAAGAAAAAUGCAGACACUGCUAUUUUUAUGAAUAGUCUAAUAUUCCUUUUUCUUCACUUUCAGCAAAGUAAUACAUUUGAUAAAUCUUUCUUCAUGUUUUGAUUUGGAAUAGAAUAUGUAGUGUUCCCAAUGCAUUUGCCUGUAUGGAAAUAAA